GCACAGCAUACUCUGAAGGCAGAGAUCUGACAGUCCUCGUCUGAAUUUGGAGGAGGACCAUGCAGUAUAGGAGAAGACGAGACUCUUGAGGAGAAGCACUUCCACCGUCUAUCCGAGCACGUGAGAUAUCCCAGCAAUAAAGAAAACAGAAAGUAAUCCAAUACAUUUGCCGGGAAACAGUAUGAUUCAGUUCCUAUAGUACAGCAUGUUGCAAUUUCCUUGCAAGUGGCAUCUCUCCCAUGAGUCACCACUGAGUCGAAUUCCUCUCCAUUACUGGAUAUUGCUUCUCAAAUUUACAGGGAACUUACAAACCCUCUUCCUAUUUGUUUCCGGUUUCAUUCUGAGAAAUACAGUUUGAUGUCUGUAUUUUUGUCAGAACUUUGAAAAUAGUCAUUUAGCGCGUCCCAUCAGUCACUCAUCUGUCAUUGUGGCUGAGAGCUAGUUUCAGUGAAUAUAUAUACAGUGGGGGAUAUUUUUCAUGAGGGGAAUAUUUGAAGUCAUUUGUCAAAUGUGACAAAGAAAGUGAGGGAUUUGGAGCUUUGUUCUGUGAUUACAUUUCUUAUAAAGGAACAAUUAAGCCUAAAGAAAUCCAUGAAAGGAUGAUUGCUGUAUAUGGUGAUGAUGCACCUUCCCAUUUUGGGUUAAGCAGUUUAAAUGGGGUAGGGAAUCAAUUGAAGAUGACCUCGUUCAGGUCGACCUGUCGAAGCAUCUUCAGAGGAAAUAUGCCGUAAAGUGGAGGCCAUGAUUUUGUAAGAUCAUCAGGUCAAAGUCAGUGUUCUAGCUUUUGAAUUAAGCAUUUUAGUUGGCACAGUUUCCAGUAUAAUUCAUGAUGUUUUGAUGAUGUCAAAGAUCAGUUCCCAGUGGGUGCCACAAAUGUUGAUGCCUGAUCAAAAAACUUGUCGCCAGCAAUAGACAAUUUAGACAUGCUUAGAGAAAAUCUAGGAGACUUCUAUUCUCAAAUUAUUACUGGUGAUGAAACAUGGUCCUGAGACCAAACAACGGUCAAUUCUUUUUCUGUAAUGCCCAGCCCUCUCCACUAGGAUGGACAGGGCUAGGCAUGAUGAUGUUUUCACUGCCUGGUCCUGUCAAUCUUGGCAGUAACAGAAAGAGCAGAGCCUCUAGG
Long non-coding RNA from Bufo bufo (common toad), 1123 nucleotides. RefSeq lists it as uncharacterized. The transcript is spliced from 3 exons. Lineage: Eukaryota; Metazoa; Chordata; Amphibia; Anura; Bufonidae. The record is from RefSeq and is a predicted model, not a curated record.